UACGUAGGGGGCGAGCGUUAUCCGGAAUUACUGGGCGUAAAGCGCACGCAGGCGGUUCGCCAAGUUUGGAGUGACAGUUGUCGGCUCAACCGACAAAGGACUUCAAAAACUGGUGAACUUGAGGACGAGAGAGGAACAUGGAACUCCAGGUGUAGUAGUGAAAUGCGUAGAUAUCUGGAGGAACACCGGUGGCGAAGGCGGCAUCCUGGACCAACACUGACACUGAAAAGCGAAAGCCAGGGGAGCAAACGGG
RNAcentral lists this ribosomal RNA (253 nucleotides) under uncultured bacterium. RNAcentral's name for it is "partial 16S ribosomal RNA". It matches the Rfam family "Bacterial small subunit ribosomal RNA", at positions 524 to 776 of the family's 1533-position model. The record is from RNAcentral.